RNAcentral lists this ribosomal RNA (304 nucleotides) under uncultured bacterium. RNAcentral's name for it is "partial 16S ribosomal RNA". It matches the Rfam family "Bacterial small subunit ribosomal RNA", at positions 354 to 675 of the family's 1533-position model. The record is from RNAcentral.
GUGGGGAAUAUUGGACAAUGGGGGCAACCCUGAUCCAGCAAUGCCGCGUGUGUGAAGAAGGUCUUCGGAUUGUAAAGCACUUUCGACGGGGACGAUGAUGACGGUACCCGUAGAAGAAGCCCCGGCUAACUUCGUGCCAGCAGCCGCGGUAAUACGAAGGGGGCUAGCGUUGCUCGGAAUGACUGGGCGUAAAGGGCGUGUAGGCGGUUUACACAGUCAGAUGUGAAAUCCCCGGGCUUAACCUGGGAGCUGCAUUUGAUACGUGUAGACUAGAGUGUGAGAGAGGGUUGUGGAAUUCCCAGUG